GGUUUUUAUGUCACAGUCACCAUUGUGACUGUCACUAUGGUUAGUGGUUUUCAUUUCCCCCUGUCCUGUCCUCAGCACAGCAAGAAUAUUUUUGAGGAAGCACCCCGAUGUCUUUCUGGCAAACCCCAUUCUGCCUUGCACUUUAAAUACAUCACAUCGCUUUCUUUGGCUUUUACCAGUGUGGCUAUGCAGAUCCCAACGACCUGAGUGACACAGACUGGAGCGUCUCCUUGUUUUUUCUCACUUCCUGUUCCUAUUUCCAUGACAUGGCUACUGAAUCCCCCUCAAUGACGUGUCUCCGUGUCUUUUAUGACAGCCUGCCUUCGACUACUUGACAGCAGUAUUAUACUCACCUGAAGAGGUGAAGGGCACUUUCUUCUCCACACUGUCAUCCUGUAACCACCGUUUCUUCACUGUGGCCUUCACUGAGACACCGGCAAACAGUCAUGAGACAGCUGCACUCCUAACUUUGCCCACCAUCCUUGAAAAGGCAGAAGACCAGCGCAUAGAGCAGGCGAAGAAGAAAGCCAUGUGAAAGGUGUGGAAUUGCCCACCAAAAUGAGUUUGGAGACAGUUCAAAGGCGUGCACAUCUGUUCCAGCAUUCAGUUGGUAAGCACCUUGGAUGUGAA
Rattus norvegicus (Norway rat) is the source of this 630-nucleotide non-coding RNA. The record is from RefSeq and is a predicted model, not a curated record. Lineage: Eukaryota; Metazoa; Chordata; Mammalia; Rodentia; Muridae.